This is a long non-coding RNA of Heterocephalus glaber (naked mole-rat), 1912 nucleotides long. The record is from Ensembl. Lineage: Eukaryota; Metazoa; Chordata; Mammalia; Rodentia; Bathyergidae.
GAACCACUGAGCUAAAUCCCUGGCUCCUUAAUUUAUUAUUUUUAAAAUUAAUCUUUAGAAUAUUUAUUUACAACAAUGUGCAGUUGUUGUAAAGGCUUCACUUGGAGUUGUGAAGUCAAAUACUCUGAACCAAAGCUGUUUUAAGUUUUUAAAAGUAGGUCAAAUCUUAAAUCCCAAACGAAUGCCUUCUAACACUUUUAAAGUCUUUAUGAGCAAACUUUUUUAUUUUUUUAAGUUAGCAAGAUAAAAAGUUUUAGCCCUGGAAUGGUUCAAAAUAGCCAGAUGCCCAGGAGGUGGUAGGCCAGUUUAAUAGCAGAUUCUCCUAUUUGCCCUUUGCCUUUUAAAAUGAAUUUGACAAUGGACAAAUCACAAGUUCACUGAGCAUCAGGUUUCUCAUCUCAAAGGAUUGUUCCAAGUAUAAAGUAUACUAAGAGGGAUUGUAUUCCUAGCAUGUAGUACACGCAGUGUAAAUUACUAAUGUCUCAUUUUCUCAGCGUUCUCAUCCCUGAUUUCCAUGUAUCUGUGAGCAGGGGUCAAGAAAGAAGAUCUUCAUGCUUGGUGUAAGGAUGCAUCAUCUCCAGCCUCAAUGUACACCAUCGUGUGAAAGGACCCAUCAACAGCUGUAGAAUCUCUGCUGAGUCCUGGCUGCUCCUUUCAGGCAGCCUUCCUGGAGAGCACUGAAUCCAGCUCCUGCCAGAAGGCUAUAACAUGGGGUCCAUACUUUGUCUCCAGUAAAACUUGGAAUGCUGCCCAAUCCAAACAGGUUGGAGGAAGUUAGAUUUUUUUUCUUUCUUCAUUGUUAGAAGAUUAUGGAAUCAUCAUCAUGAGUUGUUCUGCUCACAAAGAUUGGUAGGUGUGGGAUCUCCAAGGUAUUGUCUAGACCCUUUGUAUUUCUUUUUCCUUUUUUUUUUUUUUUUGGUACCGGGGAUCGAACUUGGUGCCUUGCACUUGCAAAGUAAGCAACAGAACCACUGAGCUAAAUCCCCGGCCUCGUAGACCCUUUGUAAUAGGGCCACGUUUGAGAUGACAGCUAUCUAAUAUUCAGGAAGUAGCUUUUACCUAUGGUCCUGGAUCCUUAUUGAUGCUGUUCUGGGUUAAUUAAAAGAGGCCCAUAUUUCUACUCUAGCUCAGAUACAAAUAGAACCUGCAUAGGGGCAGGAGGUUUUAUGACCAGAUAUACAAGAGUGGCACAGACAAGUGGGACCGUCAAGAGAAAGGACAAAAGAAAUAAAACCAUGAGGCAAGCUUGCCACAAAAUGUGAUGUCUAAUGACAAGGGCCUCUUUUUCACUGGAGGAAGUUAAACAAAUGAGAGGUAAGGACCUUUGGGAAGAGUGACAAUUCACUGAUGACAGAGAUCAAGAAGAAUGACUAUCCCAUCUCAUCCUGGGAAGGUAAGCAGAAUAAGGGGUAGAAUAAUGGCUCUCAAGCUGGCUCAGCAAGUUACCUGGACAAUUUUAUAAGCAGGAAAACUAAUCUAGGCCACAAUUUCUGAUUUAAGCCUGCAGAGCCAAAUGUAUUUAAAACGUUUUCAGCUCCACCCCAUGUGAGAAAGCAGACCUAGAGUGGCACCCCUCUCCCCAGUGUGAGAGAGCAGACCUGUGAUGGAGGAGUGCUGCCUCGCACCCAGGGGAGCACAGCACAGGGCAGUGGAGGCAAUGACUAACCAACCGACCCAAUCCUGGACUCCUGGAUGAAGACAACACCUGGGGAGAGAAGGGAGCAACCAGACCCCAUGACUGUUGACAUUAAGUCCAACAGCCCACUUGAACCUCUGCCUUACAGCCUACAUCCAGCAGAGAACAGAGGGCUGAUCUCAUUCCCCAUUCCUGGUAGAAACAAGGACAUGCUUGGCUUUAACCAUAACCACAAGUCUGGGGGGAAUGAACAGAGGGGCCUCUAGUGCAAGGAAG